UGGGGGAUAUUGCACAAUGGGCGAAAGCCUGAUGCAGCGACGCCGCGUGGGGGAUGAAGGCCUUCGGGUUGUAUACUUCUUUUGCUCUGAACAAGGCAUGCUAAUGGGUGUGUUGAGUGUAGGGGUUGAUUAGCGCCGGCUAACUACGUGCCAGCAGCCGCGGUAAUACGUAGGGCGCGAGCGUUGUCCGGAAUUAUUGGGCGUAAAGGGCUUGUAGGUGGCUGGUUGCGUCUGUCGUGAAAGCUCAUGGCUUAACUGUGGGUUUGCGGUGGGUACGGGCUGGCUUGAGUGCAGUAGGGGAGGCUGGAAUUCCUGGUGUAGCGGUGGAAUGCGCAGAUAUCAGGAGGAAUACCGGUGGCGAAGGCGGGUCUCUGGGCUGUUACUGACACUGAGGAGCGAAAGCAUGGGGAGCGAACAGG
RNAcentral lists this ribosomal RNA (419 nucleotides) under bacterium. Its description in RNAcentral is "partial 16S ribosomal RNA". It matches the Rfam family "Bacterial small subunit ribosomal RNA", at positions 355 to 776 of the family's 1533-position model. The record is from RNAcentral.